UAUAAACUAAAAAUAGUGUAU
Molecule: non-coding RNA, 21 nt
Filed under: Caenorhabditis elegans
Lineage: Eukaryota; Metazoa; Nematoda; Chromadorea; Rhabditida; Rhabditidae
Source: RNAcentral